GGGGCUGCCCGGUUUUGACAGCAGAGAAGUGGUACUGUAAGCAUGCCGGGCGUUGUAAGAGUGGCCCGUUAAUCCCAACUUGCACAGCCUCUAAACGGCACAGAUUAUAAUUACGCGUUAGCCGCUUAAUCAAGGAUUAAGCCGCUUUCUGCUCUCCGGGAAGCUUUGCGUGGCCGCGUUCCGGUAAGAGCAUCACAAAUGCUGCGAUAAGACAGGUGAGGUCCUGGUGCCUGUUCGAAAACCAAAAGGAAUAAGAUGAUGGUUGGGUUGUUUUCUCCCUGCCUUUGUCCGACAACCAACUGAAAAAUAAGCAUGUAGAAAGCUUUAUUGCUGUCUGUUUGGACGCGGGUUCGAUUCCCGCCAGCUCCACGA
This 372-nucleotide transfer-messenger RNA is filed under the name Lentimicrobiaceae. RNAcentral describes it as "Lentimicrobium sp002412885 Standard tmRNA". It matches the Rfam family "transfer-messenger RNA". Rfam says of the family: Bacterial tmRNA, also known as 10Sa RNA or SsrA, is named for its dual tRNA and mRNA-like properties. Its role is to liberate the mRNA from a stalled ribosome. Lineage: Bacteria; Pseudomonadati; Bacteroidota; Bacteroidia; Bacteroidales. The record is from RNAcentral. RNAcentral also lists the same sequence under 1 other name.